AGUAACGGCGAGUGAAGCGGCAACAGCUCAAAUUUGAAAUCUGGCCUUUGGCCCGAGUUGUAAUUUGUAGAGGAUGCUUUUGGUGCGGUGCCUUCCGAGUUCCCUGGGACGGGACGCCUUAGAGGGUGAGAGCCCCGUACGGUUGGACGCCUAGCCUCUAUAAAGCUCCUUCGACGAGUCGAGUUGUUUGGGA
RNAcentral lists this ribosomal RNA (193 nucleotides) under Fusidium sp. RNAcentral describes it as "partial large subunit ribosomal RNA". It matches the Rfam family "Eukaryotic large subunit ribosomal RNA", at positions 82 to 279 of the family's 3401-position model. The record is from RNAcentral. Lineage: Eukaryota; Fungi; Ascomycota; Sordariomycetes; Hypocreales; Nectriaceae.